RNAcentral lists this ribosomal RNA (253 nucleotides) under uncultured bacterium. RNAcentral's name for it is "partial 16S ribosomal RNA". It matches the Rfam family "Bacterial small subunit ribosomal RNA", at positions 524 to 776 of the family's 1533-position model. The record is from RNAcentral.
UACGAAGGGGGCUAGCGUUGUUCGGAAUCACUGGGCGUAAAGCGCACGUAGGCGGAUCUUUAAGUCAGAGGUGAAAUCCCAAGGCUCAACCUUGGAACUGCCUUUGAUACUGGGGAUCUUGAGUCCGGGAGAGGUGAGUGGAACUGCGAGUGUAGAGGUGAAAUUCGUAGAUAUUAGGAAGAACACCAGUGGCGAAGGCGGCUCACUGGUCCGGUACUGACGCUGAGGUGCGAAAGCGUGGGGAGCAAACAGG